RNAcentral lists this ribosomal RNA (353 nucleotides) under uncultured bacterium. Its description in RNAcentral is "partial 16S ribosomal RNA". It matches the Rfam family "Bacterial small subunit ribosomal RNA", at positions 338 to 708 of the family's 1533-position model. The record is from RNAcentral.
CCUACGGGAGGCUGCAGUGGGGAAUAUUGGACAAUGGGGGAAACCCUGAUCCAGCGACGCCGCGUGAGUGAAGAAGUAUUUCGGUACGUAAAGCUCUAUCAGCAGGAAAGAAAAUGACGGUACCUGUCUAAGAAGCCCCGGCUAACUACGUGCCAGCAGCCGCGGUCAUACGUAGGUGGCAAGCGUUAUCCGGGAUGACUGGGCGUAAAGGGUGCGUAGGUGGGUUAGUAAGUUGGCGGGGUAAUUCCGGGGCUCAACCUCGGCGCUACCGCCAAAACUAGUAGACUUGAGUUCAGGAGGGGUAAGUGGAAUUCCUGGUGUAGCGGUGGAAUGCGUAGAUAUUAGGAAGAACA